CCUACGGGAGGCAUCAGGCGCGAAAACUUUACAAUGCUGGCAACAGCGAUCAGGGAACCUCGAGUGCCAGGUUACAAAUCUGGCUGUCGAGAUGCCUAAAAAGCAUUUCAUAGCAAGGGCCGGGCAAGACCGGUGCCAGCCGCCGCGGUAACACCGGCGGCUCGAGUGGUAACCGUUAUUAUUGGGUCUAAAGGGUCUGUAGCCGGCCGGAUAAGUCUCGUGAGAAAUCUGGCAGCUUAACUGUCAGGCUUUCAGGGGAUACUGUCUGGCGCGAGGCCGGGAGAGGUGAGAGGUACUUCAGGGGUAGGGGUGAAAUCUUGUAAUCCUUGAAGGACCACCAGUGGCGAAGGCGUCUCACCAGAACGGACCUGACGGCAAGGGACGAAAGCUAGGGGCACGAACC
This 403-nucleotide ribosomal RNA is filed under the name uncultured prokaryote. RNAcentral describes it as "bacterial SSU rRNA". It matches the Rfam family "Archaeal small subunit ribosomal RNA", at positions 322 to 725 of the family's 1478-position model. The record is from RNAcentral.